Molecule: ribosomal RNA, 119 nt
Organism: Dendrobium catenatum
Lineage: Eukaryota; Viridiplantae; Streptophyta; Magnoliopsida; Asparagales; Orchidaceae
Source: RefSeq, a predicted model, not a curated record
GGUUGCGAUUAUACUAGCAUUAGUGCAUCGGAUCCCAUUAGAACUUCGUAGUUAAGCGUGUUUAGGCGUGAGUAGUACUAGGAUGGGUGACCUACUGGGAAGUUCUUGGGUUGCACCCU